This 287-nucleotide ribosomal RNA is filed under the name uncultured bacterium. RNAcentral's name for it is "partial 16S ribosomal RNA". It matches the Rfam family "Bacterial small subunit ribosomal RNA", at positions 773 to 1060 of the family's 1533-position model. The record is from RNAcentral.
GUGGAUUAGAUACCCUGGUAGUCCACGCCGUAAACGAUGAGUACUAGGUGUCGGGGUUUAAAGACUUCGGUGCCGCAGUUAACGCAUUAAGUACUCCGCCUGGGGAGUACGCACGCAAGUGUGAAACUCAAAGGAAUUGACGGGGACCCGCACAAGCAGCGGAGCAUGUGGUUUAAUUCGAAGCAACGCGAAGAACCUUACCAGAACUUGACAUCCCUCUGACCGGUCCUUAAUCGGGCCUUCUCUUCGGAGCAGAGGAGACAGGUGGUGCACGGCCGUCGACAGCU